RNAcentral lists this non-coding RNA (219 nucleotides) under unclassified sequences. Its description in RNAcentral is "raiA RNA". It matches the Rfam family "raiA RNA". The record is from Rfam by way of RNAcentral.
UUUUUUAGAGCUGUGGUUGAAAGUCGAAGCCAGUCGCAGGCGAAACGAUCCACAUAAGGUAAACUUUGUUUACUGAGCAUGGUGCGGUUUUUGGAGUAAGUCCUGCCUUAACCUUAAUUGGUGAUAAUAAUAAGAGAAGGGUAGUAGUGAGGGAUAAAGUUCCUGAGCAAACCUCUCAGCAGGCGAGUGUGGGGGCAAAGACCAGGUCAGUCUAAAGAA